CAAUAGCGUAUAUUAAAGUUGUUGCAGUUAAAAAGCUCGUAGUUGGAUUUCUGGUGGGAGCGAUCGGUCUGGCGCUUAGCGCGAGUACUUGCAUCGUCUCCGGCCAUCCUUGGGGAGAGUCUGUCUGGCAUUAGGUUGUCGGGCAGAGGAUCCUCAUCGUUUACUGUGAAAAAAUUAGAGUGUUCAAAGCAGGCUUAUGCCGUUGAAUAUAUUAGCAUGGAAAAAUAAGAUAGGACUUUGGUACUAUUUUGUUGGUUUGCGCACCAAAGUAAUGAUUAAUAGGGACAGUUGGGGGUAUUCGUAUUCCGUUGUCAGAGGUGAAAUUCUUGGAUUUACGGAAGACGAACUACUGCGAAAGCAUUUACCAAGGAUGUUUUCAUUAA
RNAcentral lists this ribosomal RNA (383 nucleotides) under uncultured eukaryote. RNAcentral's name for it is "partial 18S ribosomal RNA". It matches the Rfam family "Eukaryotic small subunit ribosomal RNA", at positions 592 to 976 of the family's 1831-position model. The record is from RNAcentral.